Molecule: non-coding RNA, 477 nt
Organism: Chelonia mydas (Green sea turtle)
Lineage: Eukaryota; Metazoa; Chordata; Testudines; Cheloniidae
Source: the annotation of a RefSeq genome assembly
ACAAGGGCAGCAAGAAUGUUGCUGUUAAAGAUUUUUGUUCUGGCUACGGUUUGCUCCUAUGGCUCCUCGCAGGUGCGUCUGACCCAACCUCAGCUGUCCAUCACUAGGGAAGGAAAUAAAACCUUACGAAUUGACUGUCAUGUUUCUCUAUCUGAGGAUUUUGGCAAGGAUCCUAUACACUGGUAUAGACAGAGACCCGGUGCAGCUCCAGAGCGGAUUCUGUUCAUCUCAGUGCUAUCUGCCUCAGAUGGAGGCUUGGAGAAAGGAAAGUUUAAUGCUGAAAAGAAGUUUGGUCAGUGUACACUUAGAGUGACCAUAAACAAAACCUCCAGUGACAUUUCUACUUACUAUUGUGCCUAUUGGGAUCGCACAGUGUUAGAAAACUGUAGACAGCCUGUACAUAAACCCACUCUGCAUUCUGAGCCACAGCCUUCAUUGGCUUCUGCAGCUAGAUAUGAACAGCAACUGCUGAUUUAG